UAGUUGCAAGGUAUAGACCCGAAACCCGGUGAUCUAGCCAUGGGCAGGUUGAAGGUUGGGUAACACUAACUGGAGGACCGAACCGACUAAUGUUGAAAAAUUAGCGGAUGACUUGUGGCUGGGGGUGAAAGGCCAAUCAAACCGGGAGAUAGCUGGUUCUCCCCGAAAGCUAUUUAGGUAGCGCCUCGUGAACUCAUCUUCGGGGGUAGAGCACUGUUUCGGCUAGGGGGCCAUCCCGGCUUACCAAACCGAUGCAAACUCCGAAUACCGAAGAAUGUUAUCACGGGAGACACACGGCGGGUGCUAACGUCCGUCGUGAAGAGGGAAACAACCCAGACCGCCAGCUAAGGUCCCAAAGUCAUGGUUAAGUGGGAAACGAUGUGGGAAGGCAUAGACAGCCAGGAUGUUGGCUUAGAAGCAGCCAUCAUUUAAAGAAAGCGUAAUAGCUCACUGGUCGAGUCGGCCUGCGCGGAAGAUGUAACGGGGCUAAACCAUGCACCGAAGCUGCGGCAGCGACGCUUAGGCGUUGUUGGGUAGGGGAGCGUUCUGUAAGCCGUUGAAGGUGGCCUGUGAGGGUUGCUGGAGGUAUCAGAAGUGCGAAUGCUGACAUAAGUAACGAUAAAGCGGGUGAAAAGCCCGCUCGCCGGAAGACCAAGGGUUCCUGUCCAACGUUAAUCGGGGCAGGGUGAGUCGACCCCUAAGGCGAGGCUGAAAAGCGUAGUCGAUGGGAAACAGGUUAAUAUUCCUGUACUUGGUGUUACUGCGAAGGGGGGACGGAGAAGGCUAGGCUAGCCGGGCGACGGUUGUCCCGGUUUAAGCGUGUAGGGGGUGUGACCUGGUAAAUCCGGUUGCAUAU
This 856-nucleotide ribosomal RNA is filed under the name Serratia marcescens. RNAcentral's name for it is "partial 23S ribosomal RNA". It matches the Rfam family "Bacterial large subunit ribosomal RNA", at positions 697 to 1553 of the family's 2925-position model. Lineage: Bacteria; Pseudomonadati; Pseudomonadota; Gammaproteobacteria; Enterobacterales; Yersiniaceae. RNAcentral also lists the same sequence under 1 other name. The record is from RNAcentral.